Microcebus murinus (gray mouse lemur) is the source of this 71-nucleotide small nucleolar RNA. Lineage: Eukaryota; Metazoa; Chordata; Mammalia; Primates; Cheirogaleidae. The record is from Ensembl.
CUAUAAUGAUGGCAAUAGUUUUCAUCAACAGCAGUUUACCUAUUAAGUGUUGAUACUUUGGGGCUGAGUUG